This 1150-nucleotide long non-coding RNA is filed under the name Prunus dulcis (almond). Its description in RNAcentral is "sRNA ncRNA". Lineage: Eukaryota; Viridiplantae; Streptophyta; Magnoliopsida; Rosales; Rosaceae. The record is from RNAcentral.
AUGGCGUUGUCUACUCGAAAUCGAAAGCGUAAACAAUUGGGGGAUGGCGUUGCUCCGUUUGAGUUUCCGUUUCAGACCCAGAAGAUCAAGAGGGUUUCUAGGGUUUUUGAGAACCAACAGAAUUUAGCCGGGGAGAAAAAACCAACUACUUCUCUUCCUCUGCGCAAGGGUUUGUCGCCCAAACAGAUACAGACCAUCCCUUUGGCUUCGUCUCCUAGAAAGCAUAGAAAAUCGGAGGAGUUAGGUUUUGAUGGUCUCUGUCAGACUCAGAAGAUCAAGAGGCAAAAACUAGGUUUUGAGUUUGAUUGUUCUGAAAUUUUGGGGUGUCUGAUGAACCUCCGCCAUGUGAGUAGGUACUUUGAGAAGCCUGUGGUUGAUCCGGUUUAUUUCCACGACAUCUGGAGGCCGAUGGAUUUCGGUACUGUGAAAUCCAAAUUGGAGAGGGGUGUCUACUCCAGUCCUGAUGGGUUUGCUGCUGAUGUGAGGCUUACCUUGUCAAAUGCUUUAAGAUAUUAUCCGCCUGGGAGGAUUGAGCGUGCAGCAGCCAAGCAUCUCAGUGGUGUUUUUGAGAGCAAGUGGAAGGAAGCCCUGGAGAAAAACCCCAAGUCUGUUUGUCCUUCUCCUCUGCCCAAAGUCAAGGGUUUGGCAGUGUUACCCAAACUGAAACAGGGCAAUACCUCUUCUCCUUCUAGCGUUCUUCAAAGUCAAGGGCUUGGUGUUUCUGAUUCUCAGUCGGUUGAUUCAACCAAACACGAUGAGUUGGCCACCCUUGUUGAUAAUGCCAUGGAUCAGGCCUCAGAGAAUCUUUCAAAAUGUAAGGCUGUCCGAAUUCUUGCACUAAAGCUACGAUUUUCAGGUACAAUAUUGAAAGCAAACAAGAUACUUAAGGGUCUACCUGAUUCUCCACCAAGGAGAAAAUCGAUGCAGCGGAUGAAGCAAAGGGAGUUGGCUUGUCGUGCCAUUUCGAACAUGAAGAAGUCAGUGCAAUUUGAGGACCCUUUACAGGAUCUCAAACAACUUGAGAUGCUGUGUGGCUGUGGCAGUGAAGAUCCUUUUCUACAGGUCCGCCUUGGAUUGCCGCUUAAGAAAUUGGGUGUAUUCCUCAGGGAAGAUGAUGAGUUGCAAGGUCAGGAUGAGGAGGCCUUUUUGA